CAUGUAGGCGGUUUAUCAAGCGUUGUGUGAAAUCCCUCGACUCAAUCGAGGAACUGCAUGGCGAACUGGUAGACUUGAGGCAGGUAGGGGUGUGUGGAACUCUUGGUGGAGCGGUGGAAUGCGUAGAUAUCAAGGGGAACGUCGGUGGCGAAGGCGACACACUGGGCCUGACCUGACGCUGAGAUGCGAAAGCCAGGGGAGCGAACAGGAUUAGAUACCCUGGUAGUCC
Molecule: ribosomal RNA, 229 nt
Filed under: uncultured bacterium
Lineage: Bacteria
Description: partial 16S ribosomal RNA
Rfam family: Bacterial small subunit ribosomal RNA
Source: RNAcentral